This is a long non-coding RNA of Eriocheir sinensis (Chinese mitten crab), 551 nucleotides long. RefSeq lists it as uncharacterized. The transcript has 2 exons. NCBI's taxonomy places the organism in Eukaryota, Metazoa, Arthropoda, Malacostraca, Decapoda, Varunidae. The record is from RefSeq and is a predicted model, not a curated record.
CAGAGCUUAGAGGUGACGUUGGGCGGCCUCCUCACCCCAUACAAGCCAUAGGGUGUCCUGUUCUUGAAGGUAUCGAGGAAGGUCUUGGUCUGGGCGUAUAGCUGCGGAAAUCCGUCUGUGGAGCGAAGAGUGUCAGGUGCUGGUGGUGGAGGAAAAAUGUGUGUGUGUGUGUGUGUGAGGAAGACAGGAGGGACUAGAGAAGAAAAGGAAAAAAAGAAAGGAAGAGAGAAAUGAAAAGAAGAAAGAAAGGAAAUUGGAAGGUAUGUGUUUGUUUGUGUGUGUGUGUGUGUGUGUGUGUUCAUGCUCCGGAAAGGUUGAGAGUGCCACCAAACCACCACCACCACCACCACCACCACCACUACCACCACCACCACAGCCACCACCACCACCAGGGAAAUGGACGAUGCAAGGAAAGUGGAUAAAUGAAGAUGGGAAUUGAAUGAAAGGAAGAGGAGAUAGGAAGAGGAAGAGGAAGAGGAGGAGGAGGAGGAAGAUUUAGAAGAGGCAUGCAUGAGAAAAAUCACUCACAGAAAAAAAACAAAAAAUAAAAA